UGCUAGAUCAACGGCAUAAAUUUCCUUUUCCUAGCCUCCGUAAGAACUGGAAAAAUUCUUUUAAAAUAUUCAUAGGAUAAUCUAGCUUUCUUGAGUGGAUUACAGAUAGCCUAAUGUCGUAGAUGACAUUAAGAUUUACUGCUGUGUGCGUAGUGAAAGGCACAUGAUCUGGUAGCAGUAUUCACGAGUAAGUCCUCCGCCCGAUAUCUGCAAUAGGUUGAUCGAUUCUGUUUCAAGGAAAGGUGGCCGUGCUGACGAUUGUGCCCGUGGCUGCGUGCCCGGCAGCUUCAAUGACUGCUACUGCAUGCACUGCGGAUGCAUCAACAAGCUGACUUCCCCCGGACCUUUUCAACUAUUGGACGCCACCAGUGCUUUUUGGCCGGACAUCCCACGAAAGCUGGCAACCUGUACCUACAUCUACCGCUUCCGCUAUCAGUCGUGGCCUCAGACUACAUAAGGAUUCCUCGGCGAGCACUUCACUGGGGCACAACACCGCUGCAGGAAUGGCGCACUCACCCUUAAUAAUGUUUCAGGUACCUGGAGCUCUCAGCUGAGCCAGUUGGAAUAUCUGCACCCAGGUGAUUGGAACCAGCCGCGGUGGCUCAGUGGCUGCACGGUGUUGUUGUGAUCGACCGUUCACCCAGCGACAACUUCCGGUCACGGCUAGCACGAUUAUGGGGGACCGGCCGACGGCCCCGUCAAAAUGGUUCUCAAACGAAUGAUUUAUGGUCAGCACGGGAUUGCCUCGGUCAGGAGAGGUUUGGGCAAUUAGGAAGGAUACGGUCCAUCCCCUGUCAGCCGCCCCAAACUGGCACGUCCACGCCGGGGACGGAGUCAGUGGACAAGCGGUGUCAGUGGACAAGCGGAGUGUUGGUGCCCAGGGAUGUGCGUGCGUUUCCGACAAAGCUCCCUUCGGAGGGAAAGGGCAACAGACCUCCGGAUUGGUGGUACCUGAUGUCAUCGGUCUCCUGACGUCGGAUUGAGGGAAGGGACUGAACAAUGACCACGCAGGGCAUAAAAAGAGCGACGGACGGCGGGAGUGAUGGGCUGCUACAACUUCUUCAUGAACUGAACCGUAAUGACUCGGACGUUAUUAAUAUCGUAGGUUAUAAUCCAGCUUAUUUAAAUAAAAAAAUAAGGACAGGAGGUGGCGAUUGUAUUUAUGUGAAACAUGAGAUGAGAUACGAAUGGCUUAACGAGUGGUCUCAAUGCACGCAUGAUAUUGAAAUUGUAUGUCUUAAAGUAGAAAACUGUGUGUUGAAGUAUACAGACCACCCGAUGGCAGCAUAAACAAUAUUAUACGGUUUUUAGAUAACAUAUUGACACGUGUGCUUGCUUAUCUUUAUCGGGCGACCAUGUUUCACCGCCUAACAACUGUUAUCGCACAACGCAGGACGCGCCUGCAUGUAUCGGAAGUUUCUGGAAUGUUAUCGAUGGCUCUAUCUAAUGUCUGUCACCGAACCUUGUGUUAUCUGAUUGCAUGUAUGCGCGAUGCGAAUAGUGUAGAACUUUGUGGAAGACACGCGGGUCCCAGGGAUUAAUCUGGAACAUUCGACGACUGAUGUAUAAAAGUCGACGCGCUUGACCCACUGAUCAGAUUUUCGACGAUGGCCGACUGUGUUCGCCGCUAUCGUUCUUUGAGUGUAGCCUGCUUUUGAGGGCACAAGUUCACCCAAUAAAACGCUAGUUUCUUUAA
This is a non-coding RNA of Dermacentor andersoni, 1696 nucleotides long. The record is from RefSeq and is a predicted model, not a curated record. NCBI's taxonomy places the organism in Eukaryota, Metazoa, Arthropoda, Arachnida, Ixodida, Ixodidae.